This 945-nucleotide ribosomal RNA is filed under the name Triticum aestivum (bread wheat). RNAcentral describes it as "partial small subunit ribosomal RNA". The record is from RNAcentral. Lineage: Eukaryota; Viridiplantae; Streptophyta; Magnoliopsida; Poales; Poaceae.
AUGGCGACGAUGGACAAGUCCGGCACCUCGGUGUUCGAGCCGGGGAAGCAUGCAGUUGAGGACAUCGAGGUGGACGCCAACGACGCGGCACCGGCACCGCCGGUUCCGGUGCUGAUCGUGGCGCCCAAGGACGCGGGGACGUACCCGGUCGUCAUGCUCCUGCACGGCUUCCUCCUCCGCAACCACUACUACCAGCACCUCCUCCGGCACGUCGCGUCCCACGGCUACAUCACGGUCGCACCACAGUUCAGCGUCAGCAACAGCCUGCUGCCGCCGUUGGGCGACGGCGAGGACAUCGCGGCGGCGGCCAGGGUCGCGGACUGGCUCCCGGGCGGCCUCCCCUCCGUGCUCCCCGACGGCGUCGAUCCGGAGCUCCCGAGGCUUGCUCUUGCCGGCCACAGCCGGGGCGGCCACACGGCCUUCGCGCUGGCGCUAGGGUACGGCGACACCCGCCUGGAGGUCAGCUUCUCGGCUCUGAUCGGCCUCGACCCCGUCGCCGGCGCCGGGAGGAACGCCCAGCUCCCGCCCGAGAUCCUCACCUACGAGCCGUCCUCCUUCGACACGUUGACGGCGGGGAUGCCCGUGCUGGUCGUCGGCACCGGGCUCGGCGAGGAGGGGAAGGGCGGGCUCCUCCCGGCCUGCGCGCCCGCGGAGGUGGGCCGCGCCGAGUUCUACCGCAAGUGCCGGCCGCCGUGCUACCACGUCGUGGCCAGGGACUACGGGCACCUGGACCUGCUGGACGACGACGCACCCGCGCUCAUCACCGGGCUCGUCUGCGAGAGCGGCGACGGGCCCAGGGACGCCAUGAGGCGGUGCGUCGCCGGGAUCAUGGUGGCGUUCCUGAACGCCGCGUUGGGGGCCGAAGAUGGGGAUCUCCAGGCCAUAGUGAGAGACCCGGCCGUCUCGCCGGCGGUGCUUGAUCCGGUGGACCACCGCCUGCAGUGA